CAAUAGCGUAUAUUAAAGUUGUUGCAGUUAAAAAGCUCGUAGUUGAAUUUCUGGCGGGCGCGCCGGUCUUCCAAGUGUUGUACUGGGCGCAGUCCGCCAUCCUUGUGGAGAGGGCUCGCAUUGAGUUGCGUGUCGGAUCUGCAUCAUUUACUGUGAGUGUUCAAAGCAGGCUGUCGCUUGAAUACAUUAGCAUGGAAUAAUAAGAUAGGACUUCGGUCUAUUUUGUUGGUUGCGAACCGAGGUAAUGAUUAAUAGGGAUAGUUGGGGGUAUUCAUAUUUAAUUGUCAGAGGUGAAAUUCUUGGAUUUAUGAAAGAUGAACAACUGCGAAAGCAUUUACCAAGGAUGUUUUCAUUA
Molecule: ribosomal RNA, 355 nt
Filed under: uncultured eukaryote
Lineage: Eukaryota
Description: partial 18S ribosomal RNA
Rfam family: Eukaryotic small subunit ribosomal RNA
Source: RNAcentral